Molecule: ribosomal RNA, 254 nt
Filed under: uncultured bacterium
Lineage: Bacteria
Description: partial 16S ribosomal RNA
Rfam family: Bacterial small subunit ribosomal RNA
Source: RNAcentral
CACGUAGGGUGCGAGCGUUGUCCGGAAUUAUUGGGCGUAAAGAGCUCGUAGGCGGUGUGUCGCGUCGGCCGUGAAAACCUGCAGCUUAACUGUGGGCUUGCGGUCGAUACGGACAUCACUGGAGUUCGGCAGGGGAGACUGGAAUUCCUGGUGUAGCGGUGAAAUGCGCAGAUAUCAGGAAGAACACCUAUGGCGAAGGCAGCUCUCUGGGACGGUACUGACGCUGAGACGCGAAAGCGUGGGGAGCGAACAGG